CUGCUCUCUAUGUUAAUUACUCACUAUAUGCUAUGGUUUUGUGCAGGAUUUUGAGCUCCUGGUUAUAACUUAGUUAUCUGCAUUAUAUGUACUUUCUUACCAAUAUUUUUAGUUCGGACUAGCCUUUUUCGAGGUAUCUACCAUGGGCAUUUGCUGGUGCCUUUCCUGCAGAGUGGCUAAAUGCCGCGUUUUGCUUGUAUGUGGUAGCAUUGUUUUGCCGCACCGUGUGUGAUGUGCGUCUUUUGCAAGUGUGUGCUUUCUCCACCCGCUCUUGUUUUCUCGCAGAUGCCGAUCAACCUGCUUUCUGAGAUUCACAAGGAUAGCCGUUAGUGGACCAUAUGUGUUCUUGUUUCCCGCAUGUGGCACUACCGUGGAGGGACCGAAGAGGGUCCUAUCAAACACACUGAUCUUGUUCUGAUUGAUGAGCAGGGAAGCCAUAUGUACGGUCAGCUCCCUCCAGCCACCUC
This is a long non-coding RNA of Lolium rigidum, 467 nucleotides long. RefSeq lists it as uncharacterized. The transcript has 3 exons. NCBI's taxonomy places the organism in Eukaryota, Viridiplantae, Streptophyta, Magnoliopsida, Poales, Poaceae. The record is from RefSeq and is a predicted model, not a curated record.